Molecule: ribosomal RNA, 503 nt
Filed under: fungal endophyte
Lineage: Eukaryota; Fungi
Description: eukaryotic LSU rRNA
Rfam family: 5.8S ribosomal RNA (bases 189-342)
Source: RNAcentral
GCGGAGGGAUCAUUGCUGGACGCGCUUCGGCGCACCCAGAAACCCUUUGUGAACUUAUACCUUACUGUUGCCUCGGCGCAGGCCGGCCCCUCCACGGGGGCCCCUCGGAGACGAGGAGCAGCCCGCCGGCGGCCAACCAAACUCUUGUUUCUUAGUGAAUCUCUGAGUAAAAAACAUAAAUGAAUCAAAACUUUCAACAACGGAUCUCUUGGUUCUGGCAUCGAUGAAGAACGCAGCGAAAUGCGAUAAGUAAUGUGAAUUGCAGAAUUCAGUGAAUCAUCGAAUCUUUGAACGCACAUUGCGCCCUCUGGUAUUCCGGAGGGCAUGCCUGUUCGAGCGUCAUUUCAACCCUCAAGCCUGGCUUGGUGUUGGGGCACUGCUUCGAGAGAAGCAGGCCCUGAAAUCUAGUGGCGAGCUCGCCAGGACCCCGAGCGUAGUAGUUAUAUCUCGUUCUGGAAGGCCCUGGCGGUGCCCUGCCGUUAAACCCCCAACUUCUGAAAUUU